This 217-nucleotide long non-coding RNA is filed under the name Lathyrus oleraceus (garden pea). Its description in RNAcentral is "Pisum sativum (pea) long non-coding RNA (PSAT_LNC009807)". The record is from RNAcentral. Lineage: Eukaryota; Viridiplantae; Streptophyta; Magnoliopsida; Fabales; Fabaceae.
UGAUGUGAUAUGAUUUUUUGAAUAGGGGUGUGACAAUUUCAUGAUUUUCAUUACCAUGCUUCUUGAACUCAAAAUGGUCUGGAUUUUUGCAUGAACAUACUUAUGGAUAUUGGGAAUACAUGUGAAUUUUUCUGGGAUUAUUGAUGGCAUUUCCUAUUUGAUUGGAAUUUUCUCCCCUGUUUGAUCAUUUGUUGACUUUUUGUGAUACAUGAUUUCU